Molecule: ribosomal RNA, 497 nt
Filed under: uncultured bacterium
Lineage: Bacteria
Description: partial 16S ribosomal RNA
Rfam family: Bacterial small subunit ribosomal RNA
Source: RNAcentral
GAUGAACGCUGGCGGCGUGCCUAAUACAUGCAAGUCGAGCGAACAGACGAGGAGCUUGCUCCUCUGACGUUAGCGGCGGACGGGUGAGUAACACGUGGAUAACCUACCUAUAAGACUGGGAUAACUUCGGGAAACCGGAGCUAAUACCGGAUAAUAUAUUGAACCGCAUGGUUCAAUAGUGAAAGACGGUUUUGCUGUCACUUAUAGAUGGAUCCGCGCCGCAUUAGCUAGUUGGUAAGGUAACGGCUUACCAAGGCAACGAUGCAUAGCCGACCUGAGAGGGUGAUCGGCCACACUGGAACUGAGACACGGUCCAGACUCCUACGGGAGGCAGCAGUAGGGAAUCUUACGCAAUGGGCGAAAGCCUGACGGAGCAACGCCGCGUGAGUGAUGAAGGUCUUCGGAUCGUAAAACUCUGUUAUUAGGGAAGAACAAAUGUGUAAGUAACUAUGCACGUCUUGACGGUACCUAAUCAGAAAGCCACGGCUAACUACGUG